UACGUAGGUGGCAAGCGUUGUCCGGAUUUAUUGGGUUUAAAGGGUGCGUAGGCGGCCUUAUAAGUCAGUGGUGAAAUAUCGCAGCUCAACUGUGAGGGUGCCAUUGAUACUGUAGGGCUUGAGUGAAUUUGAGGUAGGCGGAAUUGACGGUGUAGCGGUGAAAUGCUUAGAUAUCGUCAAGAACACCGAUAGUGAAGACAGCUUACCAAGCUUCAACUGACGCUGAGGCACGAAAGUGUGGGGAUCAAACAGG
This 253-nucleotide ribosomal RNA is filed under the name uncultured bacterium. RNAcentral describes it as "partial 16S ribosomal RNA". It matches the Rfam family "Bacterial small subunit ribosomal RNA", at positions 524 to 776 of the family's 1533-position model. The record is from RNAcentral.